CUGCCAAAGCCUAUCACUGAGAUCCAUAUGUUUGUGUUUUUUUUUUUCAGCAGUGCUUCCUCUUCUUGCUGCAGAUCAUCUGAACUUCCGUAGGUGUCUCCAGUCAAUCAGACCCUGACAUCUGUAAUCCAGCUAAUCUGCAGCAAACAGGGCAGGGAUGGCUGGAAAACAAGACUUUACUUGUUGGCGUUCUUAAUACUGUCCACAAAGAAUUCAUUGCAGGCGACAGUCAGCGCAGCGACCAGAACCACAAACUCCUGAAAGUCGACUUCCCCGUCCUUGUUUUCAUCCAGGUCGGUCAUGAUCUUCUCCACAACACUCGCCUGGUUUGGACCCUAAAAAUUAUACAUUUUUCAAUUUUAUUUCUCCUAUUCUGAUUGAUUUUAAUCUUAUCAAAGUAUGUUUUUUGUAAUUAGCAGGAAACUUACAGCCAGGAAUUCUGAGAGUUCCUCCUGCAGCAUGUUCUUCAGCUCUUUUUUGUUGAGCUUGUACUUGUCCCCCUCUUUCCCAGAGUAUUUGUAGAACACUGUGAUGAGGUCCUCCAUUGCUCCUUGCAGGUUGGCACUCAUUUUGCAACCCUAAAAUUAAAGAGAAGAACAUUUUAAGAAAGGAAGGAAAUCUGCUCACUUUACAUGAAAUGAGAGAAGAGAAAUUCAGAUUUUAAUCAAAGUUUUUACAAAAAAAAAAAACUAGAAGUUGGUAACAUAUGCUACAUGCACACGUCUGCUUGUAAACAAUUAAUUACCAUUGUUUGCAGUAUUUUCUGCAGCAUUUAUUGUGAAUAAAAAUAGGAAAAUGGUUGAUAAGUUUCAGCAAAUGUUUAGAAAUAUUCAGGAAUCAGAAGCUACUAUUGUAAAUGCAUUAAAAAA
Molecule: long non-coding RNA, 869 nt
Organism: Oryzias melastigma (Indian medaka)
Lineage: Eukaryota; Metazoa; Chordata; Actinopteri; Beloniformes; Adrianichthyidae
Exons: 2
Source: RefSeq, a predicted model, not a curated record